UAGUAAUUAAAUUACAUGAUCACUAGAUUCACUUACUAUAUAAACAAUGUAGAAAAUUUCAUAAUAUAUCACACAAAUUAACUUCAAAUUUCCUCUAGUUCUUCUUGUCUUUAACUAUCCAGGGCCAAAAAUUAAAAUUAUGAGGUUCAUUAUGGUGGUUGUGUUAGUCAUGUUGGUGAUGACAACGACUUCUAGCUUUGCCACGAGUAGGAAUCUAAUCGAGAAUAACAAAGACGAUAAUAAGGUUUUUUCGCAGGAAGAAAGUAAAAGUGUUGAUAAUCACCAUUAUAUACCUAGGCAAGAAUUCAACAAUGGUGACGGGGGCGUUAAUCCUAUAGGAACGAGGACAUGAUCAUACAGAUUGAAUUCUGCAGAACUCGUAACUAAUACAAGAUCUUAACCAAACCUAAUAACUUAUUAUAAUUAAUGUAUAUAGAUAUGUUUGCAUGUUACUAUGCGUAUUUUAAUUAAGGGGUGGUACGUAAGUAGAAAUAAUAAUAGUAAACCUUCAUGGUUUUACGUAGUGAAUAUAUAUGGUACUAAUAAUUAAUAGACUUUAAUAAUGUUCUUUGCUUUUGUCUAAUAAUGUUGUAGUGGAUAGUGUUGUGUAAUUUUUAUGUUGAAGUUUUGUCCUUUGUUUGUAUAAAUAAAAAGAAGGUUGGGA
Solanum stenotomum is the source of this 664-nucleotide long non-coding RNA. RefSeq lists it as uncharacterized. The transcript has 2 exons. The record is from RefSeq and is a predicted model, not a curated record. NCBI's taxonomy places the organism in Eukaryota, Viridiplantae, Streptophyta, Magnoliopsida, Solanales, Solanaceae.